CAAGUUAAUCGCCUUAUCGCUGUUCUGUAUAAGCAGAAUGGAGGAAAGUCCGAACACCGUAGUGCAACAUAGUGGUUAACAGCCACCAGUCGAGAGGCUAGGAAAAGUGCAACAGAAAGUAUGUACAGGUUAAGCUGUAGUGAAAUCCGGUAAACUCUAUGUGGUGCAAUGUCAUGUAAACCAACGUUUAAGGGUUGCACGCCCGAUGUUGGAGGGUAGACAGCUAGAGUGUAUUGGUAACAAUACUCUUAGAUAAAUGAUAAGGGCUCAAUUGGAGUACAGAAUUCGGCUUACAGAUUUACUUAUAUU
Molecule: RNase P RNA, 309 nt
Filed under: Winogradskyella alexanderae
Lineage: Bacteria; Pseudomonadati; Bacteroidota; Flavobacteriia; Flavobacteriales; Flavobacteriaceae
Description: RNase P RNA component class A
Rfam family: Bacterial RNase P class A
About the family: Ribonuclease P (RNase P) is a ubiquitous endoribonuclease, found in archaea, bacteria and eukarya as well as chloroplasts and mitochondria.
Source: RNAcentral